GGGACCCGCACAAGCGGUGGAUGAUGUGGAUUAAUUCGAUGCAACGCGAAGAACCUUUACCUACCCUUGACAUGUCCGGAACUUGCCAGAGAUGGCUUGGUGCCCGAAAGGGAAUCGGAACACAGGUGCUGCAUGGUUGUCGUCAGCUCGUGUCGUGAGAUGUUGGGUUAAGUCCCGCAACGAGCGCAACCCUUAUCAUUAGUUGCUACGCAAGGGCACUCUAAUGAGACUGCCGGUGACAAACCGGAGGAAGCGGGGAUGACGUCAAGUCCUCAUGGCCCUUAUGUCCAGGGCUACACACGUGCUACAAUGGUCGGUACAAAGGGUUGCGAUACCGCGAGGUGGAGCCAAUCCCAUAAAGCCGAUCUCAGUUCGGAUUGGAGUCUGCAACUCGACUCCAUGAAGUUGGAGUCGCUAGUAAUCGCGGAUCAGCAUGCCGCGGUGAAUACGUUCCCGGGCCUU
RNAcentral lists this ribosomal RNA (462 nucleotides) under uncultured Tepidiphilus sp. RNAcentral's name for it is "bacterial SSU rRNA". It matches the Rfam family "Bacterial small subunit ribosomal RNA", at positions 916 to 1382 of the family's 1533-position model. The record is from RNAcentral. Lineage: Bacteria; Pseudomonadati; Pseudomonadota; Hydrogenophilia; Hydrogenophilales; Hydrogenophilaceae.